GGAGAUAGCUCAGUGGUAGAAUGCAUGUCUAGCAGCCUGAGGCCCUGGGUUUGAUCCCCAGGACCA
This 66-nucleotide transfer RNA is filed under the name Marmota monax (woodchuck). RNAcentral describes it as "tRNA.Undet". The record is from RNAcentral. Lineage: Eukaryota; Metazoa; Chordata; Mammalia; Rodentia; Sciuridae.